Transfer RNA from Felis catus (domestic cat), 85 nucleotides. It matches the Rfam family "tRNA". Rfam says of the family: Transfer RNA (tRNA) molecules are approximately 80 nucleotides in length. NCBI's taxonomy places the organism in Eukaryota, Metazoa, Chordata, Mammalia, Carnivora, Felidae. The record is from Rfam.
GCCUGGGUGGCUCAGUUGGUUGAGCGUCCAACUUUGGCUUGGGUCAUGAUCUUACAGCUCGUGAGUUCGAGCCCCACAUUGGGCU